UCGCCUUUUGCUUUUGGUUGCUUGCCUGGCCUCUUGGCGUAAGGUGGGUGGCCUCUUGCCGGGUGGUCUUCGGGGAUGUCGACCGUAAAGGUGCAUGAGUGGUGUUUGGUUUGUUAUGGGUGGUUGGCUCUUUGCUUGUGCAACAACUGCCACCCGGCUUACCUUCUCAGAUCUUUGCUUUGGCUUCGACCGCCAAUGCAGAAUGCGGGUUUCGUGUGUUGCCUACCUACGUCAUGGUAUUGUCCCGAUCGAUUGAAGUCGCUUUCGUCUUGUGUCAUUCACAUGGCAUCAGAUGAACAUUGAAGCUGUCUCUUUGCACCACAUCGUUAACGCUUGCGUUGAUGUUGUGGCUCAUUGAGCAUCAGCUGGUAUCUUGGAUACGGAACCUGAUGUGGGCAUGGGGUCUAUGGAUCCCUAUUCUGCCCUCGUGUAGCGUUUGCACUUUUCCUCUUAAAAUGUUUGCCUAGCCCGAAUUGGCUCGUACCACCGGGUGGGCAUCGUUGAAGAGGAAUGUUGUGCUUCUCUUAGAAUGACUGCCUAGCCCGAAUUGGCUCGUACCACCGGGUGGGUAUGUCAAAGAGGAAUGCUACCUGGUUGAUCCUGCC
Molecule: unclassified non-coding RNA, 605 nt
Filed under: Geraea canescens
Lineage: Eukaryota; Viridiplantae; Streptophyta; Magnoliopsida; Asterales; Asteraceae
Description: partial contains external transcribed spacer and 18S ribosomal RNA
Source: RNAcentral